UGGCUCAGGACGAACGCUGGCGGCACGCUUAACACAUGCAAGUCGAACGGAGAAAAUGGAUUUAUUCGUUUCUUAGUGGCGGACGGGUGAGUAACACGUGAGCAACCUACCUUUAAGAGGGGGGAUAGGCUUCUGGAAACGGAUGGUAAUACCCUAUGACAUAUAUUUGAGGCAUCUCAGAUAUAUCAAAGAUUUAUCACUUAAAGAUGGGCCCGCGUCUGGAUUAGGUAGUUGGUGAGGUAACGGCCCACCAAGCCGACGAUCAGUAGCCGGACUGAGAGGUUGAACGGCCACAUUGGGACUGAGACACGGCCCAGACUCCUACGGGAGGCAGCAGUGGGGAAUAUUGCACAAUGGGGGGAACCCUGAUGCAGCGAUGCCGCGUGGAGGAAGAAGGUUUUCGGAUUGUAAACUCCUUUUGUAUGGGAAGAUAAUGACUGUACCAUAUGAAUAAGCUCCGGCUAACUACGUGCCAGCAGCUGC
RNAcentral lists this ribosomal RNA (483 nucleotides) under uncultured bacterium. RNAcentral's name for it is "bacterial SSU rRNA". It matches the Rfam family "Bacterial small subunit ribosomal RNA", at positions 20 to 518 of the family's 1533-position model. The record is from RNAcentral.